Molecule: long non-coding RNA, 397 nt
Filed under: Setaria italica (foxtail millet)
Lineage: Eukaryota; Viridiplantae; Streptophyta; Magnoliopsida; Poales; Poaceae
Description: long non-coding RNA (SITA_LNC001806)
Source: RNAcentral
ACCAGAUCCAGUAGUCGGGGAUGCGAUCGCGGUUGAUGAAGAAGCCGGAGAAGAGGAGGAAGUAGGCGAGGAUGGCGACGACCACCGUGUACCCCAGCAUGACGUGCGGCACCACGGCGGAGAGGAAGGUGACGAAGCCGCUGCCCGCCCAGAAGGAGGCCAGGAUGAUGAGGACGAAGAAGAGGAACGACGAGGCGCCGCCGGCGAGCCCCACCGCCCAGAAGGUGGUGACGGCGAAGGCGAGGGAGAGGAGCACGAGCGGCGGGAAGGCGACGGCGGCGUUGGCGAGCACGUAGGAGAUGCGGCGGUAGGCGUUGUGCGCGGUCUCGCGCAGGUAGAUGUGGCGCUCCUGCACGAACACCGGCAGCGCGUCGGCGCACACGUAGAACAUAGUCGA